This is a long non-coding RNA of Stegostoma tigrinum, 1621 nucleotides long. RefSeq lists it as uncharacterized. The transcript is spliced from 4 exons. NCBI's taxonomy places the organism in Eukaryota, Metazoa, Chordata, Chondrichthyes, Orectolobiformes, Stegostomatidae. The record is from RefSeq and is a predicted model, not a curated record.
AUCGGUGAAAACCACGUGAUCAUCCACGAGAGCGGUCCAGAGUCGCUGAGAUAACCAGAACUGCAGAUACCACAGACUCUGAGAUAACAUGGUGUGCAGCUGGAUGAACACAGCAGGUCAAGCAGCAUCAGAGGAGCAGGAAAGCUGACGUUUCGGGCCUAGCUCCUUCGCUGAGACCAAGAUUUGUGCAAUUGAGAUACCAGCGAUCGUUGCCAAAGCCCUGUUCCCUGUGGAGAAGGUGAUAUUUAACUUUCGUGUGCUGCUGCAGUUCGUAUGAUGAAGGUGCUCCCACAAUGCGGUCAUUUGAGAAGUUACAGAUCGGUCAUCAAGCGAUACUGAAGAGCUGAUGAAUAUUACAAGUGGACUUUCAGUUGGGAAGCUCAAUAAUUGUAACACGAAACUGACAGAAUUACUUAAUUCAUCAGCACCUGGAUAUUCGCAUUGUGUAUUUCCACAAUUUUACUUCUGCACUAUUCUUAGUCUUUCAGAGGGAUCGAAAGGUUGAGUUACAGAUCUAUACCAUGACUGUCCUUCCUCCCUGGCUCUCCCACCUCUCUCUUUUGGUAGUUUGAUGCAAACACUGACUGGAUCCCUUACCUGGAGGAUAUUUGUGAAUGAAUGUGUUCUAAUGGUGAUCUAGCAUAUUCCCCAAGUGUUGCUCCACACAUGUCCAGAGAAUUUCUCAGUUUCACAAUGUGUGUCCCCUUCUGGUUUCUUACUCGCUACACUUACUUUCUGUUUGAAAGUAUAGUCUGCCGUCGGAGAAUUCAAACUGUUCCACAUCCAGGUCUGACAGUCACUUUGUUUAUCACAAACCCAAUUUUCUCAGGAUUUUGAACAUUGAAGGAAAAAGCAGCACUCAUAUUGGGGAGAAAAGCACAUGGUGUGUAUGUUGAAGAGUCUGUGAAGAUUCAUCUGAAAUGUCCGAACACCAGUGCAGUGACACUGAGAGAGAGUGUGGAAAUGUGCAGAUUGCAAGAAGGAAUUUCUUCAUCGAUCCGAGCUAGAAACUGACCACCAGAGUCACACUGGAGAGAGACCAUUGACCUGUUCUGCGUGAGGGAAAGGCUUUGCUGACUGGAAUUCCCCACUGAUGCACCAGCGAGUUCACUCUGGGGAGAGACCUUUCAUGAGCUCUGAGUGUGGGAAGGGAUUCAUUGUCAUCCAAACUGUUAACACACCAGCGAGUUCACAGACAACCACAGUUGACGGACUUUGCUGUCACUCUCACUAGCAAAUGAACCAUGGUUUUGGGCUGUUUGUACAGAUAUUACUGAUCCCUGCUCAAUUAAAGGUGCUGGUAUUGUGAAUAAAAUGUCACACUAACAGUUGUGUAAGGUAGAGCUUGGAAAUAGUCACGUUGUCACAACACAUCGACACAUUCACACUGACUAAAGACUAUCCACCUGCACGAUAUGUGAAAAGGGAUUUCCCGGUUCAUCAGGACUGGUUAACUACCAGCAAAUUUCUGAAUAAGUUGAUUGGUUUGAAUAUAGCUAACAGUAGAAUCAAAAAUAGUAUCAGUGAUAAUGGGAACUGCAGAUGCUGGAGAAUCCAAGAUAACAAAAAGUGUGGAGCUGGAUGAACACAGCAGGCCAAGCAGCAUCUCAGGAGCACAAAA